Molecule: ribosomal RNA, 464 nt
Filed under: uncultured bacterium
Lineage: Bacteria
Description: partial 16S ribosomal RNA
Rfam family: Bacterial small subunit ribosomal RNA
Source: RNAcentral
ACGCACGCUGGCGGCGUGCUUCACCCCUGCCAGUCGAACGGAAAGGCCCCUUUGGGGGUACUCGAGUGGCGAACGGGUGAGUAACACGUGAGUAACCUGCCCUUGACUUCGGGAUAACUUCAGGAAACUGGGGCUAAUACCGGAUAGGAAUCCUUGCUGCAUGGUGGGGGUUGGAAAGCUUCGGCGGUUUUGGAUGGACUCGCGGCUUAUCAGCUUGUUGGUGGGGUAGUGGCUUACCAAGGCUUUGACGGGUAGCCGGCCUGAGAGGGCGACCGGCCACAUUGGGACUGGGAUACGGCCCAGACUCCUACGGGAGGCAGCAGGGGGGAAUAUUGCACAAUGGGCGGAAGCCUGAUGCAGCAACGCCGCGGGCGGGAUGACGGCCUUCGGGUUGUAAACCGCUUUCAGCAGGGGCGAAGCUUGUGGUGACGGUACCUGCAGAAGAAGCACCGGCUAACUACGUG